GACGAACGCUGGCGGCGUGCCUAAUACAUGCAAGUUGAGCGCUGAAGGUUGGUACUUGUACCAACUGGAUGAGCAGCGAACGGGUGAGUAACGCGUGGGGAAUCUGCCUUUGAGCGGGGGACAACAUUUGGAAACGAAUGCUAAUACCGCAUAAAAACUUUAAACACAAGUUUUAAGUUUGAAAGAUGCAAUUGCAUCACUCAAAGAUGAUCCCGCGUUGUAUUAGCUAGUUGGUGAGGUAAAGGCUCACCAAGGCGAUGAUACAUAGCCGACCUGAGAGGGUGAUCGGCCACAUUGGGACGGAGACACGGCCCAAACUCCUACGGGAGGCAGCAGUAGGGAAUCUUCGGCAAUAGACGAAAGUCUGACCGAGCAACGCCGCGUGAGGGAAGAAGGUUUUCGGAUCGUAAAACUCUGUUGGUAGAGAAGAACGUUGGUGAGAGUGGAAAGCUCAUCAAGUGACGGUAACUACCCAGAAAGGGACGGCUAACUACGUG
RNAcentral lists this ribosomal RNA (497 nucleotides) under uncultured bacterium. RNAcentral's name for it is "partial 16S ribosomal RNA". It matches the Rfam family "Bacterial small subunit ribosomal RNA", at positions 28 to 507 of the family's 1533-position model. The record is from RNAcentral.